AUAUGCACAGUGGGGAACCCUGAUGCAGCGACGCCGCGUGAAGGAAGAAGUAUCUCGGUAUGUAAACUUCUAUCAGCAGGGAAGAUAGUGACGGUACCUGACUAAGAAGCCCCGGCUAACUACGUGCC
This 128-nucleotide ribosomal RNA is filed under the name uncultured bacterium. RNAcentral's name for it is "partial 16S ribosomal RNA". It matches the Rfam family "Bacterial small subunit ribosomal RNA", at positions 361 to 509 of the family's 1533-position model. The record is from RNAcentral.